GCUCCGUAGGUGAACCUGCGGAGGGAUCAUUACAGAAUUCAUGCCCUACCGGGUAGAUCUCCCACCCUAUGUUAUUAUUACUUUGUUGCUUUGGCGGGCCGUUAGGCUCCGGCCCGACUACCGGCCCCGGCUGGUAAGCGCCCGCCAGAGGACCCAAAACCCUGAAUAUUAGUGUCGUCUGAGUACUAUAUAAUAGUUAAAACUUUCAACAACGGAUCUCUUGGUUCUG
RNAcentral lists this unclassified non-coding RNA (229 nucleotides) under plant metagenome. Its description in RNAcentral is "partial contains small subunit ribosomal RNA, internal transcribed spacer 1, and 5.8S ribosomal RNA". The record is from RNAcentral.